AUUGAACGCUGGCGGCAUGCCUUACACACGCAAGUCGAACGGCAGCACGGGUGCUUGCACCUGGUGGCGAGUGGCGAACGGGUGAGUAAUACAUCGGAACAUGUCCUGUAGUGGGGGAUAGCCCGGCGAAAGCCGGAUUAAUACCGCAUACGAUCCACGGAUGAAAGCGGGGGACCUUCGGGCCUCGCGCUAUAGGGUUGGCCGAUGGCUGAUUAGCUAGUUGGUGGGGUAAAGGCCUACCAAGGCGACGAUCAGUAGCUGGUCUGAGAGGACGACCAGCCACACUGGGACUGAGACACGGCCCAGACUCCUACGGGAGGCAGCAGUGGGGAAUUUUGGACAAUGGGCGAAAGCCUGAUCCAGCAAUGCCGCGUGUGUGAAGAAGGCCUUCGGGUUGUAAAGCACUUUUGUCCGGAAAGAAAUCCUUGGCUCUAAUACAGUCGGGGGAUGACGGUACCGGAAGAAUAAGCACCGGCUAACUACGUG
This 486-nucleotide ribosomal RNA is filed under the name uncultured bacterium. RNAcentral's name for it is "partial 16S ribosomal RNA". It matches the Rfam family "Bacterial small subunit ribosomal RNA", at positions 30 to 507 of the family's 1533-position model. The record is from RNAcentral.